UUACGGCCACAUCAGGUUGAAACACUGGUGUCCAUACGAUCACUGAAGUUAAACAAUGUCAAGCCUGGUGAGUACCUAGAUAGGUGACCACUUAGGAAUACCAGGUGCUGUAAG
Acanthosepion pharaonis is the source of this 114-nucleotide non-coding RNA. NCBI's taxonomy places the organism in Eukaryota, Metazoa, Mollusca, Cephalopoda, Sepiida, Sepiidae. The record is from the annotation of a GenBank genome assembly.